UGCAGAAUACCUUCAUAACAAGCUCAGGGCCAAGCACUAUUCCAAGGCAAAAGCUCCUCUCUCAACCUAUUCAAGCAUGAACUUGGAAGAAAGUCAGCUCUCUUCAUAGUAAAUCAACAACUCACUGACCAAAAAAAGAACACAAAGUGAAGUCUUCUGCAGUAGAUACAUGGCACUCCUACCAAUUUCACCAUCACAAAAUAAUUCUGGUUCAAGGGACCUGUGUAAGUCACCUGGUCUAACCUCACAUUCAAAGCAGAGCCAUCAUCAACCAGGCUGCUCAGUACCUUGUCAAGUUCUGAACAUCUCCAAGGACCAAGACUCUACAACCACUCUGGACAACCUAUUCCAAGGUGAAGGACCACGCUCUUAGGUUGAAUCAAGUCCAUCUGUGUCACGCUGGAAGUGCCUAACGGACCUAUGGGGGUCAAACUUAUAAUCGAUACACUGCUGAUGGCAAUGAGGAAAGUGUGGCAGGACGAGUGGCCUGGUGAGAAGACUUCCCCAUAUGUCCCCCUGUCGGACCCAGCAGCAGAAAGAAUGCAAACCCGUUUGUAUAUAUGCAAAUUUUUGCAGCAGAUUUAAGAGCUUCGGGUGCUCUGGGGAAGAAAUCUCUGCUUAAGGAGCACGUAUUUAAAUAAAACAAGAUUUUCAGUACUGUCUUGUACUUCGCCAGCUUGGAAAACACAAACGAUCUUCUGUA
Molecule: long non-coding RNA, 703 nt
Organism: Dromaius novaehollandiae (emu)
Lineage: Eukaryota; Metazoa; Chordata; Aves; Casuariiformes; Dromaiidae
Exons: 4
Source: RefSeq, a predicted model, not a curated record